UAGAAUACUGGAUAUAAAGUCUUAUAAACAUUAUAGUUCAAUGGUCAAUUUUUUUCAAAAAAGAUAUUUUGUUCCAAACAUUGUUUAUAAUUUUAAAAUAUUUUAAAUAACAUAUAAAAUUACUGAAAAUAUCGAGAUUUUUCCCAAUAAUGCUGCAUUAGUGCAGUGACAUUAUUAAAAUAACUAAGUAACUUUAAAUCAUAAAAAUUAAUUUUUUUUUUAAAUCCACAACAUUGUCUGAAAAAUUAAACGCUUUCCAUAAAGAUAAGACAAAGAGUUCUGCGUCGAAAUAAUAAUGUAUUUAACCCGUACUUUUUUUGCAACUUUAUCAUCUACUCUGCAUACCGUGACCGACUUCAGCAGUAUUAUACAGCAAGUCCGUUGUGACACCAACACCGCCUGUAGAACACAGCUCCGGACAUGACAUAUCGAACCGGUUGAGUCGUCGUGUCGUCAACUCCAUCAUACCUUCAAAACAAGAAUUUUUCCGCAUUACGGUUUCUUUAGCGACGGUUGUACACCAUCUACUUACAUACUAAUCAGCGGCAGAAACAGCAGCAGCAGCAGUACGUUAUAUACACUUCCUGCGUAAUAAUAAUUAUUAUUGUUAACGUCGCCGGAGGGGUAGGGGAAAAAACCGAUUUACCCUGGUCGUGCGCCAAGGCCUAAGAUCGUAAGACCGCGAAACGUCUUUUGUGUGCUCGGCGUCUGUGACGGCUGCUGGUCGUCGGCACACGUCUUUAACGUACAUCAGAUCAUCCGGACCGUGACACGCGGGAACGGUUGCACGCACGCGUACUGGGCGCGUGUCCAGCCAGGUGCAUUGCCGAUCCGAGGCCCAUAAGAAAGGGAUGCGAUCGUCUUAUAAUAUAAUAUGUAUACAACGGUUAGAACGGUUGGCGUUUUACUCGUGUACUUCGCGUCAUCUCAAGCAAACCUUAUAUCCGGCGGGAAGUUUCUUCGUAAUCAUAAUAUAAUAAUAUAAUAAUAAUUGGCCGCCAAUGACGAGCAAUUUAUUCGAAAUCGAAACGCUGAUCGCACGCGCCGUUACAUUAUAAUAUAAUAUCUGUACCGGUGGGUGGUAUAGCUGUGGCGCGGUACAGGAAAUUAUAGCUGUAAUCGAACAGAGUGUAUAUAGUUAUAAAAUGUAACACGUUAAUGUAUAAUAUCAAUAAGGUGUGCGCAUUUUAAUUAUUGACACUUAUUGUACACCGUACAAAUGGAACCGACGACAUUUACGUAAGUAUACGAAGACAGUGACUAGAGCUGGCUUAGAUGAUGAGUGAUGGUGGUCAAGUGUGUAGCGUGAUUAUUGGACGCUCAAGCAGAUUCUAAGCUGUAUGCGAAAAAUAUAAUUCAACGUAAAAGUCCUAACAGUAUCAAAAUUAAUGUUGAGAAUAAAGAAGAGAUAAAGAUAAAUAUUAAUGGGUUUAAACUUUAAAAAAAACAGUUCCACCACCGAUAAUAAAUAAUUUAGUAAAUAAAUACGUUCGUGUGCCGUUUCAAAUGCGGUCGCGGGUGCAGCACGCCGUAACGCGGCGGCCGCGGAACAAUUAUUACUAUAUCAUAGUCUUACGGUCGUAUAGGUAGGUUCCGACUUCCGGAUUUCACAGUGUUGAUGGUCGUAGCUAUAAUAUGUACACGAUGACGACAAUAAUCUAGACGGGUAGGUCAGAGGAACUUGUGGUUUUUCGCGUUUCCGGUACGGAUUCAGGAUAUCCUGAGACCGGUUAUAUAUGUAUGUAUACUUAUACAAUACGAAAUUAAAACAUAGAUUUGGUCAAGUGAUCACUGAUCGUCGUCGUCCUCGUCAUGGUAUAUUGUCGAUCCGAUCAUCCGCGAAGAGCCAGCGGGAGUGAACAAAGGAAUUAACGUCAUUUACUGAACAGCGGGAUAGAAAACAGUAAAAACUACCUAUGUAAUAAAAGAGGGUGUCGUCACAUGCUUACUUAUAUAUUAAACGCGAAGAUUUUGGUAAAAACUCGCGCGAUUAAAUCAAGUUUAUCCACUCGACUUCGCGCGUCUACCGUUAUUGUUAUACGCGCACGUGACUAGGUGGCGUUUCAGAUGCGACAAUACCUACAUAAUAUCCGAUCGAAACAAAUUGUACGAUACAAUAAUAUACCGAAUAUUAUUACUGUCGAGCACAUUUAAUUGACAAGGAGGACCGGUGCAGUUGUAGCAUUGAAUUAUUAAUCAUCGCCUGACAUGCGGUAAUGUGAUCGCCAAACGUGAUAACGGCGCUCACCAAAUUACCUUAAUGCUCUAUAUGUUCAGAAUUUUAUGGACUUUGGGUGUCAACGUGCCGCACAAGAAGGGGGUGACGACGAGGUGGACUGCAUAUAUUGUCCUAAGAACGCGAAACGUAUGUAAUCAUAAUACAAUCGCUGUAGGUGGUAUACAUAUUCAUAUAAUAAUAUUAUAGGCGAGUCUUUUUUUUUUUUUCAAAGUCGUCGUACGAAUGAUAAUUAUAAUUACAAUUCCGUACCGCAUCUAUUUGUUUUAGGUAACGAAAACUAAAAACUUCAUUAAUUCAUUAAUCUAAAAUAUACACAUAUUAUUAUACACCACCGUGACAUGCUAGGUACCUACCUGCAGUAGGUACAGUAAUAUUGAUAUCAUUUUUUCGUUUUUUUUUUUUUUUUUUUUAUACGAAUAAAGGCUUUAACUAUAUUAGAUAUUUUCACCCUACAUCUUAUCACUAUAUAGAUUUCUCAUCACACGACUUAAUUUAACUCGACUUGAUUAAUAUUAGGGUUUGUGAUAGAAUAAUUAUUACAUUGAGCAGGUACCUAUUUAUUGUUAUUUUUAACUAAUUACAUUUAUAUCGUAUUUUUUUAUAUUUAUACCGAUGGUUUAGUAAUAUUAUUGUAUAAUAAGUUGUUAUCGUUCGGUCGAAUAAAAAUAAAUAAAUAAAAACACUUGAAAUAUUAUUAUUUGUCAUUAGUUUAUCUUUGUAUUAACUUGUUAUGUUACCUAUUGGACGCAAACCUGUCAAUUUUUUUUUGA
This is a long non-coding RNA of Aphis gossypii (cotton aphid), 3009 nucleotides long. RefSeq lists it as uncharacterized. Lineage: Eukaryota; Metazoa; Arthropoda; Insecta; Hemiptera; Aphididae. The record is from RefSeq and is a predicted model, not a curated record. The transcript has 10 exons.